RNAcentral lists this ribosomal RNA (254 nucleotides) under uncultured bacterium. RNAcentral's name for it is "partial 16S ribosomal RNA". It matches the Rfam family "Bacterial small subunit ribosomal RNA", at positions 524 to 776 of the family's 1533-position model. The record is from RNAcentral.
UACGUAGGGUGCGAGCGUUGUCCGGAAUUAUUGGGCGUAAAGAGCUCGUAGGCGGUCUGUCGCGUCGGUCGUGAAAACUUGGGGCUUAACCCUGAGCUUGCGGUCGAUACGGGCAUGACUGGAGUUCGGCAGGGGAGACUGGAAUUCCUGGUGUAGCGGUGAAAUGCGCAGAUAUCAGGAGGAACACCGGUGGCGAAGGCGGCUAUCUGGACCGACAUUGACGCUGAGGCGCGAAAGCGUGGGGAGCAAACAGG